This 302-nucleotide long non-coding RNA is filed under the name Lathyrus oleraceus (garden pea). RNAcentral describes it as "Pisum sativum (pea) long non-coding RNA (PSAT_LNC000078)". The record is from RNAcentral. Lineage: Eukaryota; Viridiplantae; Streptophyta; Magnoliopsida; Fabales; Fabaceae.
UUAUGACUUUUAUAACUUAAUUUUUUAUUAAAAAAUAAAAUAAAAAUAAAAAUAUGAAGAAACAAUGGGUCAUGGGGUUGUAAAUUACACAAAGGGUGUUAGGGCCCAAAAAACAUAGAAGGGGAAAAAACCCAAAAGGCCCAAAACCCACUUUCCUUCUAAAACCCUACAUGAAACCAAACAGAAAUUGGCCAGGGGAAGGGUGCAGCCACCACCCAUGCAAAAUCCCAAUUAAAAUGUAAUUAAAUAAAUAAUAAUAAAAAAAGAAAUAAAUUAAAAACAAUCAUUAAAUGUAAAAAAAG